UCCUACGACUACGCUAUCACUCCUACGGGAGGCAGCAGUGGGGAAUAUUGCACAAUGGGGGAAACCCUGAUGCAGCCAUGCCGCGUGUGUGAAGAAGGCCUUCGGGUUGUAAAGCACUUUCAGUAGGGAGGAAGGUAGUGUAGUUAACACCUGCAUUAUUUGACGUUACCUACAGAAGAAGCACCGGCUAACUCCGUGCCAGCAGCCGCGGUAAUACGGAGGGUGCGAGCGUUAAUCGGAAUUACUGGGCGUAAAGCGCAUGCAGGCGGCCUGUUAAGUCAGAUGUGAAAGCCCGGGGCUUAACCUCGGAAUUGCAUUUGAAACUGGCAGGCUAGAGUCUUGUAGAGGGGGUAGAAUUUCAGGUGUAGCGGUGAAAAUGCGUAGAGAUCUGAAGGAAUACCAGUGGCGAAGGCGGCCCCCUGGACAAAGACUGACGCUCAGAUGCGAAAGCGUGGGGAGCAAACAGGAUUAGAUACCCUGGUAG
RNAcentral lists this ribosomal RNA (484 nucleotides) under uncultured bacterium. RNAcentral's name for it is "bacterial SSU rRNA". It matches the Rfam family "Bacterial small subunit ribosomal RNA", at positions 317 to 793 of the family's 1533-position model. The record is from RNAcentral.